Molecule: long non-coding RNA, 1432 nt
Organism: Onychostoma macrolepis
Lineage: Eukaryota; Metazoa; Chordata; Actinopteri; Cypriniformes; Cyprinidae
Exons: 4
Source: RefSeq, a predicted model, not a curated record
GGUUGAUUCUGAGCUCUCCUCUUCCUGGCGUGCCCCUUUCCGCUCCUCACUGCGUUCAGUCUGAUUUUAGAGUAGGGCUGGUGGCAUCGAUAUUGCGGCAAGUGUGUGGCGGAGUUCGCUUACAGUAAUGGUGACACAAGCGGAUGUGUGAAUGCUAUCUGGUACGUUGAGUCACGACACUUGUUGGCGUAACCAUAUAGCUUUGCGCUGGUCUCCGUGCAACCCUAACCGUAAAAGGGGGAAUGGAACAUCACCGUCUCUAAGUUGAUCUCUCGUUGAAGAUACUACAUGUGACGCCGCUGCUGUUUUGCUUACGGGCAUUUUUUGUUUUGAGUACGGACCUGUUGUACAUCAUUGCUUACGGCUUCGCUGUUUGGCGGGGCGUUUGGGCCGGUCUUUGUGCUUUUGCUAGGCCAUCUAUCUGUUUUAUUUUGAUUUUGGUUUUUUUUGUAUAAUUUUAUUUGCGCAUUGCGCUGUGGUUUUUCCUUUUUUUUUUUUUUUUUUUUUGUGCUAUUUGUGGUUGUUCUGCAGCUUUAUAAUUGUUCAUUUAUAUUUUCGUGCCAUGCAUUGUACUACGUCAUCGUAAAGAAUUCACAUUCUUUACUUCAUUUAUUGUUUUGUAAUUCUGGUGUCAUUCAGGCACUGUGAUUUUGCUCUUGCUGCAUUUCGUGCCCUUAGGAGGCUGGCGUACUGGAGUCCCUACAACUAGUGUCUGUAAAUUUAGUCUGAUUAUUUUUCAUUCUUUGUAAUUCUUUUUUUUUUUUUUUUUUUUGUAAUUUUUGGUUAAUGGUUUUUCAUUUCUGUCUCCAGGAGCCAGUGAGGACUCUGUGUGGAGCAGGGGAGGCUAGUCACUUUCCUUCCAUGGUGUGUCUCACAGGGUGCUGUGUGUGUGUGUGUGUGUGUGUGUGUGUUGGUACAAUUUGCUUUACUGUGUGUGUGUGAGGUGUUUGAUGUGGUGUGAAUUUAGGUGGGUUUGGACGACCUCCCGAGUUGCACCUGGCCUGCCCUGUUCCCACUAAGCCUGGCCCUGGAGUUAUUUUAAUAAUCUGGUGGUGUGUUUCUGGGGAGAGAGAAUAUUAUUGAUGUUCUUAUAAUAAAGUGUAUUUUUGUAUUGACACUCACAUCUCAAUAUACAGUAUCUUAUUUCCUUGCCUUCAAUUGGUAAAAUGUACCUGUGUCCUUACUGGGAGUAUUUCCCUGGCGCUCCACCAGGGUGGUGUAGUCGGAUUAAAUUAAUUGUGAUUUUUGGGGUCUGUUAGACCUAUAUGACUCUGCCACACUAGCAAAGACUGAGAUGCUCCUUUUAUACCCAAACAUGAUAUCUUGACCCAUUACCAAUUCAUCUGCUUACUGUGAACUGUUUAACGUGGAUAUUCUAUAACCUUUUUACUUUUAUUUUGCCUCUGUCCCAAUUUUUUUGGAAUGUGUUGCU